This 593-nucleotide ribosomal RNA is filed under the name uncultured bacterium. RNAcentral's name for it is "bacterial SSU rRNA". It matches the Rfam family "Bacterial small subunit ribosomal RNA", at positions 8 to 612 of the family's 1533-position model. The record is from RNAcentral.
AGAGUUUGAUCAUGGCUCAGAGUGAACGCUGGCGGCGUGCCUAACACAUGCAAGUCGAACGAGAACGGAUUACAGCUUGCUGUAAUUGUCAGCUAAGUGGCGCACGGGUGAGUAAUAUAUAGUUAAUCUGCCCCAAAGAAGAGAAUAAUUGUUGGAAACGACUUGUAAUGCUCUAUAUGCCUUUAUCACAUAAGUGAGCAAGGGAAAUAUUUAUAGCUUUGGGAUGAGACUGUACGGUAUCAGCUAGUUGGUGAGGUAAUGGCUCACCAAGGCAAUGACAUCUAACUGGUUUGAGAGGAUGAUCAGUCACACUGGAACUGAGACACGGUCCAGACUCCUACGGGAGGCAGCAGUGGGGAAUAUUGCACAAUGGAGGGAACUCUGAUGCAGCAACGCCGCGUGGAGGAUGACACAUUUCGGUGCGUAAACUCCUUUUAUAUGAGAAGAUAAUGACGGUAUCAUAUGAAUAAGCACCGGCUAACUCCGUGCCAGCAGCCGCGGUAAUACGGGGGGUGCAAGCGUUACUCGGAAUCACUGGGCGUAAAGAGCAUGUAGGCUGUAGAUUAAGUUGGAAGUGAAAUCCUAUGGCUCAA